GUYUUUUUGAAUUAUUUAUAUUUAUAUAAAGUCUAACCUGCCCAUUGAAUUAUUUUAAAAGGCUGCGGUAUUUUGACUGUACAAAGGUAGCAUAAUCAUUAGUUUUUUAAUUGAGGACUAGUAUGAAUGGUUGAAUAAAAUAUAAACUUUUUUAAUUAUAAAUAUUGAAUUUUACUUUUUAAUUAAAAGGUUAAAAUAUAUUUAAAAGACGAGAAGACCCUAUAGAGUUUUAUAUUGAUUAUUUUUAUUUUUAAAUUAAGUAAUUAAUAAUAAUAUUUUAAUUAAUAUUUUGUUGGGGUGAUAAUAAAAUUUAAUAAACUUUUAUUUUUUUUUUACAUUAAUAAAUGAUUAAUUGAUCCAUUAUUAAUGAUUAAAAAAUUAAAUUACCUUAGGGAUAACAGCAUAAUUUUUUUUAAAAGUUCUUAUUAAUAAAAAAUUUUGUGACCUCGAUGUUGGAUUAAGAUUUAAUUUUAGGUGCAGAAGUUUAAAAUUUAAGUCUGUUCRACUUUUAAAUUCUU
Molecule: ribosomal RNA, 518 nt
Filed under: Corynoptera saetistyla
Lineage: Eukaryota; Metazoa; Arthropoda; Insecta; Diptera; Sciaridae
Description: partial 16S ribosomal RNA
Source: RNAcentral